GAUGAACGCUGGCGGCGUGCUUAAUACAUGCAAGUCGAGCGAAGCACUUUAACGGAAUUCUCCGGAAGGAAGGUAAAGUGACUGAGCGGCGGACGGGUGAGUAACGCGUGGGUAACCUGCCUUAUACAGGGGGAUAACAGUUAGAAAUGGCUGCUAAUACCGCAUAAGCGCACAGGACCGCAUGGUCUGGUGUGAAAAACUCCGGUGGUAUAAGAUGGAUCCGCGUCUGACUAGCUAGUUGGUGAGGUAACGGCUCACCAAGGCAACGAUGCGUAGCCGGACUGAGAGGUUGAUCGGCCACAUUGGGACUGAGACACGGCCCAA
RNAcentral lists this ribosomal RNA (324 nucleotides) under uncultured bacterium. Its description in RNAcentral is "bacterial SSU rRNA". It matches the Rfam family "Bacterial small subunit ribosomal RNA", at positions 28 to 334 of the family's 1533-position model. The record is from RNAcentral.